RNAcentral lists this unclassified non-coding RNA (336 nucleotides) under uncultured Candida. Its description in RNAcentral is "sequence contains ITS1". The stretch from base 1 to 105 matches the Rfam family "5.8S ribosomal RNA", at positions 50 to 154 of the family's 154-position model. Lineage: Eukaryota; Fungi; Ascomycota; Saccharomycetes; Saccharomycetales. The record is from RNAcentral.
GAAAUGCGAUAAGUAAUAUGAAUUGCAGAUUUUCGUGAAUCAUCGAAUCUUUGAACGCACAUUGCACCCUCUGGUAUUCCAGAGGGUAUGCCUGUUUGAGCGUCAUUUCUCUCUCAAACCUUCGGGUUUGGUAUUGAGUGAUACUCUUAGUUAAACUAGGCGUUUGCUUUAAAUAUAUUGGCACGAGUAGUGUUGAACAAUGUUGUCCGAACAUCAAUGUAUUAGGUUUAUCCAACUCGUUGAAACGUUUAGAUAAUGUUAUUCUUCAUUAGGCUUUGCCUUAUAAAAACAAACAAGUUUGACCUCAAAUCAGGUAGGAUUACCCGCUGAACUUAA